This 74-nucleotide transfer RNA is filed under the name Emcibacter sp. Its description in RNAcentral is "tRNA-Cys". It matches the Rfam family "tRNA". Rfam says of the family: Transfer RNA (tRNA) molecules are approximately 80 nucleotides in length. Their secondary structure includes four short double-helical elements and three loops (D, anti-codon, and T loops). The record is from RNAcentral. Lineage: Bacteria; Pseudomonadati; Pseudomonadota; Alphaproteobacteria; Emcibacterales; Emcibacteraceae.
GGCGCGGUGGCGGAGUGGCUACGCAGCGGAUUGCAAAUCCGUCUAUACCAGUUCGAUUCUGGUCCGCGCCUCCA